This 492-nucleotide ribosomal RNA is filed under the name uncultured bacterium. RNAcentral describes it as "partial 16S ribosomal RNA". It matches the Rfam family "Bacterial small subunit ribosomal RNA", at positions 29 to 507 of the family's 1533-position model. The record is from RNAcentral.
AGUGAACGCUGGCGGCAGGCCUAACACAUGCAAGUCGAACGGCAGCACAGUAAGAGCUUGCUCUUACGGGUGGCGAGUGGCGGACGGGUGAGGAAUACAUCGGAAUCUACUUUUUCGUGGGGGAUAACGUAGGGAAACUUACGCUAAUACCGCAUACGACCUACGGGUGAAAGCAGGGGAUCUUCGGACCUUGCGCGAUUGAAUGAGCCGAUGUCGGAUUAGCUAGUUGGCGGGGUAAAGGCCCACCCAGGCGACGAUCCGUAGCUGGUCUGAGAGGAUGAUCAGGCACACUGGAACUGAGACACGGUCCAGACUCCUACGGGAGGCAGCAGUGGGGAAUAUUGGACAAUGGGCGGAAGCCUGAUCCAGCCAUACCGCGUGGGUGAAGAAGGCCUUCGGGUUGUAAAGCCCUUUUGUUGGGAAAGAAAAGCAGCAGGUUAAUACCCCGCUGUUCUGACGGUACCCAAAGAAUAAGCACCGGCUAACUUCGUG